AAUAUUGGAAAAUGGGUGAAAGCCUGAUCCAGCCAUGCCGCGUGUGUGAAGAUGGAAAUAGAUAUGUAAAGCACUUUUAGGAGAGAGAUAGGGCCGUGAGCUACUACCUUGCUAUUUUCACGAUUCCGACAGUAUAAGCCCCGGCUAACUUCGUGCUAGCAGCCGCGGUAAUACGAAGGGUGCAAUCGUUAACCGGAUUUACUGGGCGUAAAGCGCGCGUAGGUGGUUUGUCAAGUGGGAAGUGAAAGCCCCGGGCUCAACCUGGGAACUGCUUUCAAAACUGGCAAGCUAGAGUAUGGCAGAGGGUGGUGGAAUUUCCUGUGUAGCGGUGAAAUGCGUAGAUAUAGGAAGGAACAUCAGUGGCGAAGACGACCACCUGGGCUAAUACUGACACUGAGGUGCGAAAGCGUGGGGAGCAAAC
This 421-nucleotide ribosomal RNA is filed under the name uncultured bacterium. RNAcentral describes it as "partial 16S ribosomal RNA". It matches the Rfam family "Bacterial small subunit ribosomal RNA", at positions 360 to 773 of the family's 1533-position model. The record is from RNAcentral.